RNAcentral lists this long non-coding RNA (235 nucleotides) under Erythranthe guttata (spotted monkey flower). RNAcentral's name for it is "long non-coding RNA (EGUT_LNC001698)". Lineage: Eukaryota; Viridiplantae; Streptophyta; Magnoliopsida; Lamiales; Phrymaceae. The record is from RNAcentral.
ACCACCACCAAUGGAAAGAUAACUUAUCAAGGAUUCGAACGGCACCUCCUGAUCGUCGAAACUCCACCUUUAAGACCUUCCCAUCAAUUAAUUCUUUGAAGAGCCAAAGACUGAAAUUCGAUUUCUGGACAGCUAGUCGUCUUCUUCGCCCGAUUCCGGCGACCAUCUGAUGCAACCACUGCUGGAGGCCACCACCACUAGAAAGCUGACUUCCCAAGCUUUCCAACAAUGUGAC